RNAcentral lists this ribosomal RNA (486 nucleotides) under Fusarium oxysporum. RNAcentral's name for it is "eukaryotic LSU rRNA". The stretch from base 130 to 283 matches the Rfam family "5.8S ribosomal RNA". The record is from RNAcentral. Lineage: Eukaryota; Fungi; Ascomycota; Sordariomycetes; Hypocreales; Nectriaceae.
AACCCCUGUGACAUACCACUUGUUGCCUCGGCGGAUCAGCCCGCUCCCGGUAAAACGGGACGGCCCGCCAGAGGACCCCUAAACUCUGUUUCUAUAUGUAACUUCUGAGUAAAACCAUAAAUAAAUCAAAACUUUCAACAACGGAUCUCUUGGUUCUGGCAUCGAUGAAGAACGCAGCAAAAUGCGAUAAGUAAUGUGAAUUGCAGAAUUCAGUGAAUCAUCGAAUCUUUGAACGCACAUUGCGCCCGCCAGUAUUCUGGCGGGCAUGCCUGUUCGAGCGUCAUUUCAACCCUCAAGCACAGCUUGGUGUUGGGACUCGCGUUAAUUCGCGUUCCCCAAAUUGAUUGGCGGUCACGUCGAGCUUCCAUAGCGUAGUAGUAAAACCCUCGUUACUGGUAAUCGUCGCGGCCACGCCGUUAAACCCCAACUUCUGAAUGUUGACCUCGGAUCAGGUAGGAAUACCCGCUGAACUUAAGCAUAUCAAUA